GCAGUCGAGCGGAUCAAGGGAGCUUGCUCCCUGAGAUCAGCGGCGGACGGGUGAGUAACACGUGGGUAACCUGCCUGUAAGACUGGGAUAACUCCGGGAAACCGGGGCUAAUACCGGAUAACUCAGUUCCUCGCAUGAGGAACUGUUGAAAGGUGGCUUUUCGCUACCACUUACAGAUGGACCCGCGGCGCAUUAGCUAGUUGGUGAGGUAACGGCUCACCAAGGCGACGAUGCGUAGCCGACCUGAGAGGGUGAUCGGCCACACUGGGACUGAGACACGGCCCAGACUCCUACGGGAGGCAGCAGUAGGGAAUCUUCCGCAAUGGACGAAAGUCUGACGGAGCAACGCCGCGUGAGUGAAGAAGGUUUUCGGAUCGUAAAACUCUGUUGUUAGGGAAGAACAAGUGCCGUUCGAAUAGGGCGGCGCCUUGACGGUACCUAACCAGAAAGCCACGGCUAACUACGUGCCAGCAGCCGCGGUAAUACGUAGGUGGCAAGCGUUGUCCGGAAUUAUUGGGCGUAAAGCGCGCGCAGGUGGUUUCUUAAGUCUGAUGUGAAAGCCCACGGCUCAACCGUGGAGGGUCAUUGGAAACUGGGGAACUUGAGUGCAGAAGAGGAAAGUGGAAUUCCAAGUGUAGCGGUGAAAUGCGUAGAUAUUUGGAGGAACACCAGUG
RNAcentral lists this ribosomal RNA (674 nucleotides) under Rossellomorea vietnamensis. RNAcentral describes it as "bacterial SSU rRNA". It matches the Rfam family "Bacterial small subunit ribosomal RNA", at positions 57 to 714 of the family's 1533-position model. Lineage: Bacteria; Bacillati; Bacillota; Bacilli; Caryophanales; Bacillaceae. The record is from RNAcentral.